This is a small nucleolar RNA of Lineus longissimus, 99 nucleotides long. RefSeq annotates it as small nucleolar RNA U83B. The record is from RefSeq and is a predicted model, not a curated record. NCBI's taxonomy places the organism in Eukaryota, Metazoa, Nemertea, Pilidiophora, Heteronemertea, Lineidae. The transcript has a single exon.
AAUGAUAUAUGAUGAAAACCAUGUGGAUGUGUGCCCCUGCCAGGGCACCUGACUUCCAUCAUGGAGAAGCAUCCAUGCUGCCUUCCUUCUGAUAUCGUA